Molecule: microRNA precursor, 143 nt
Filed under: Erinaceus europaeus (western European hedgehog)
Lineage: Eukaryota; Metazoa; Chordata; Mammalia; Eulipotyphla; Erinaceidae
Description: miRNA (ENSEEUG00000019603.1)
Source: RNAcentral
CAGGGUGUCCUGAAGAAUUUGAAUUUCUGAUAAACAAUGAAUAUUCUUUUAUUUUAAGAUGUCUCUGGCAAUAUUUGGGACAUACUUGUGCAAAAUAUUAUGCAUUGCCUAUCUAAAAUUCAAAUUGAGCUGGGGGUCCCGUA